CGGCCACACUGGAACUGAGACACGGUCCAGACACCUACGGGUGGCAGCAGUCGAGAAUCAUUCACAAUGGGGGCAACCCUGAUGGUGCGACGCCGCGUGGGGGAAUGAAGGUCUUCGGAUUGUAAACCCCUGUCAUGUGGGAGCAAAUUAAAAAGAUAGUACCACAAGAGGAAGAGACGGCUAACUCUGUGCCAGCAGCCGCGGUAAUACAGAGGUCUCAAGCGUUGUUCGGAAUCACUGGGCGUAAAGCGUGCGUAGGCUGUUUCGUAAGUCGUGUGUGAAAGGCAGGGGCUCAACCCCUGGAUUGCACAUGAUACUGCGAGACUAGAGUAAUGGAGGGGGAACCGGAAUUCUCGGUGUAGCAGUGAAAUGCGUAGAUAUCGAGAGGAACACUCGUGGCGAAGGCGGGUUCCUGGACAUUAACUGACGCUGAGGCACGAAGGCCAGGGGAGCGAAAGGGAUUAGAUACCCCUGUAGUCCUGGCAGUAAACGGUGCACGCUUGGUGUGCGGGGAAUCGACCCCCUGCGUGCCGGAGCUAACGCGUUAAGCGUGCCGCCUGGGGAGUACGGUCGCAAGAUUAAAACUCAAAGAAAUUGACGGGGACCCGCACAAGCGGUGGAGUAUGUGGCUUAAUUCGAUGCAACGCGAAGAACCUUACCUGGGCUUGACAUGUAAUGAACAACAUGUGAAAGCAUGCGACUCUUCGGAGGCGUUACACAGGUGCUGCAUGGCCGUCGUCAGCUCGUGUCGUGAGAUGUUUGGUUAAGUCCAGCAACGAGCGCAACCCCUGUUGCCAGUUACCAUCGAGUAAUGUCGGGGACUCUGGCGAGACUGCCCAGAUCAACUGGGAGGAAGGUGGGGACGACGUCAGGUCAGUAUGGCCCUUAUGCCCAGGGCUGCACACGUACUACAAUGCCCAGUACAGAGGGGGCCGAAGCCGCGAGGCGGAGGAAAUCCUGAAAACUGGGCCCAGUUCGGACUGUAGGCUGCAACCCGCCUACACGAAG
This 1008-nucleotide ribosomal RNA is filed under the name gut metagenome. Its description in RNAcentral is "bacterial SSU rRNA". It matches the Rfam family "Bacterial small subunit ribosomal RNA", at positions 305 to 1325 of the family's 1533-position model. The record is from RNAcentral.